This 253-nucleotide ribosomal RNA is filed under the name uncultured bacterium. RNAcentral describes it as "partial 16S ribosomal RNA". It matches the Rfam family "Bacterial small subunit ribosomal RNA", at positions 524 to 776 of the family's 1533-position model. The record is from RNAcentral.
UACGGGGGGGGCAAGCGUUGUUCGGAAUUACUGGGCGUAAAGGGCUCGUAGGUGGCCAACUAAGUCAGACGUGAAAUCCCCAGGCUCAACUUGGGAACUGCGUCUGAUACUGGAUGGCUUGAAUUCGGGAGAGGGAUGCAGAAUUCCAGGUGUAGCGGUGAAAUGCGUAGAUAUCUGGAGGAAUACCGGUGGCGAAAGCGACUCUCUGGACGGCAACUGACGCUGAGGCACGAAAGCGUGGGGAGCAAACAGG